RNAcentral lists this ribosomal RNA (440 nucleotides) under uncultured bacterium. RNAcentral describes it as "bacterial SSU rRNA". It matches the Rfam family "Bacterial small subunit ribosomal RNA", at positions 338 to 795 of the family's 1533-position model. The record is from RNAcentral.
CCUACGGGAGGCAGCAGUGGGGAAUAUUGGACAAUGGGCGCAAGCCUGAUCCAGCCAUGCCGCGUGAGUGAUGAAGGCCUUAGGGUUGUAAAGCUCUUUUGUCCGGGAAGAUAAUGACUGUACCGGAAGAAUAAGCCCCGGCUAACUUCGUGCCAGCAGCCGCGGUAAUACGAAGGGGGCUAGCGUUGCUCGGAAUCACUGGGCGUAAAGGGCGCGUAGGCGGACUUUUAAGUCGGAGGUGAAAGCCCAGGGCUCAACCCUGGAAUUGCCUUCGAUACUGGGAGUCUUGAGUUCGGAAGAGGUUGGUGGAACUGCGAGUGUAGAGGUGAAAUUCGUAGAUAUUCGCAAGAACACCGGUGGCGAAGGCGGCCAACUGGUCCGAAACUGACGCUGAGGCGCGAAAGCGUGGGGAGCAAACAGGAUUAGAUACCCUUGUAGUC